This 1391-nucleotide ribosomal RNA is filed under the name Ansonia penangensis (Penang stream toad). RNAcentral's name for it is "partial 16S ribosomal RNA". It matches the Rfam family "Bacterial large subunit ribosomal RNA", at positions 157 to 2567 of the family's 2925-position model. The record is from RNAcentral. Lineage: Eukaryota; Metazoa; Chordata; Amphibia; Anura; Bufonidae.
GCUAUAGACCUAACCCAACUAGACAAACACAUUCAAUAAUAACAACUUGAUACUUUAAGUAAAGCAUUCUAAUAUUUUUAGUAAAGGAGAUUAAAAAACUAAUUGGAGUAAUAACAACAGUACCGCAAGGGAACAGUGAAAUACCAAUGAAAACUCAAGCAACAAAAAGUAAAGACUACCACUUGUACCUUUUGCAUCAUGGUUUAACUAGUCUAACCAAGCAAAAUGAAUUUAAGUUUGACCUCCCGAAACUAAGUGAGCUACUUCAAGGCAGCUGAAAGAGCAAACCCGUCUCUGUGGCAAAAGAGUGGAAUGACCUUCAAGUAGCGGUGAUAGACCUAACGAACUUAGUGAUAGCUGGUUACUCAAGAAACGGAUCUUAGUCCAACCUGAAAUUAAACGCACCAGUUAAUUAAAACACCCACUUUCUUUUCAGCGUAAUUCAAAUAAGGUACAGCCUAUUUGAAACAGGAUACAACCCAAACCAAUGGAUAAAAUUAGCCCUAUAAAUAACCAAGUUGGCCCAAGAGCAGCCAUCUUUUAAAUUGCGUCAAAGCUUAACUAUUUCCACGCCUAAUAUCAACAUUAUUAUUUUAAUCCUCCCCCAAUACUGAGUAGUUCUAUAACACUAUAGAAACUUUUAUGUUAAAACUAGUAACAAGAAAAAGACAUUCUCUUAAAUGUUAGUGUAAAUCAGAUAGGACAAACCACUGAUAUUUAACACCCUUGAACCUAAAGUAACAACUAAUCAAGAAAACUUUACUAUAAUUAGCGUUAACCUAACACAAGCACAUUUCAAGAAAGAUUAAAAAAACAAGAAGGAACUCGGCAAACAUUAACCCCGCCUGUUUACCAAAAACAUCGCCUCUUGAACCCAAUAAGAGGUCCAGCCUGCCCAGUGACUCAGUUCAACGGCCGCGGUAUCCUAACCGUGCGAAGGUAGCGUAAUCACUUGUUCUUUAAAUGAGGACUAGUAUGAAAGGCACCACGAAGGUUAUACUGUCUCCUUUUUUUGAUCAGUGAAACUAAUCUCCCCGUGAAGAAGCGGGGAUAAAACUAUAAGACGAGAAGACCCUAUGGAGCUUAAAACAACAUAGCAUUUACUAUACUUCAAAACUCAAACACAAAUCUAAUAAGUAAUAUGACUAUAAGUUUUUGGUUGGGGUGACCACGGAGCAUAACACAACCUCCAUGUUGAAUGAAUUUUGUUCUAAGCCAAGAAUCACUUAUCGAAGCAUCAGUAUUCUGACAUCUAUUGACCCAAUCCUAUUGAGCAACGAACCAAGUUACCCUAGGGAUAACAGCGCAAUCCACUUUAAGAGCCCCUAUCGACAAGUGGGUUUACGACCUCGAUGUUGGAUCAGGGUCCCCAAGUGGUGCAGCCGCUACUA